RNAcentral lists this transfer RNA (94 nucleotides) under Paenibacillus dendritiformis. Its description in RNAcentral is "tRNA-Ser". The record is from RNAcentral. Lineage: Bacteria; Bacillati; Bacillota; Bacilli; Caryophanales; Paenibacillaceae. RNAcentral also lists the same sequence under 1 other name.
CGAGUAUGAGAUGCGCGGCGUUCCGGUCCGGCUUGAGAUCGGACCGCGGGAUAUGGAGAACGGCGUGUGCGUGCUCGUGUCGCGCGUAUCCGGC